AGCAGCCGCGGUAAUUCCAGCUCCAAUAGCGUAUAUUAAAGUUGUUGCAGUUAAAAAGCUCGUAGUUGAACCUCGGGAUCAAUUGAUCGGUCAUGCCAUUGGUAUGUACUGGUCAUAUUGGUUCUCACCUUCUAAGGAACCUUAAUGUCAUUAAUUUGAUGUUUUGGGGAAUUAGGACUGUUACCUUGAAAAAUUAGAGUGUUUAAAGCAGGCUAACGCUUGAAUACAUUAGCAUGGAAUAAUGAAAUAGGACAUCGCAUUCUAUUUUGUUGGUUUCUAGGAUCGAUGUAAUGAUUAAUAGGGAUAGUUGGGGGCAUUAGUAUUCAAUUGUCAGAGGUGAAAUUCUUGGAUUUAUUGAAGACUAACUACUGCGAAAGCAUUUGCCAAGGAUGUUUUCAUUAAUCAAGAACGAAAGUUAGGGGAUCGAAGACGAUCAGAUACCGUCGUAGU
RNAcentral lists this ribosomal RNA (450 nucleotides) under uncultured Glomus. Its description in RNAcentral is "SSU rRNA". It matches the Rfam family "Eukaryotic small subunit ribosomal RNA", at positions 569 to 1024 of the family's 1831-position model. Lineage: Eukaryota; Fungi; Glomeromycota; Glomeromycetes; Glomerales; Glomeraceae. The record is from RNAcentral.